ACGGGAGGCAGCAGUGGGGAAUAUUGGACAAUGGGGGAAACCCUGAUCCAGCGACGCCGCGUGAGUGAAGAAGUAUUUCGGUAUGUAAAGCUCUAUCAGCAAGGAAGAAAAUGACGGUACUUGACUAAGAAGCUCCGGCUAAUUACGUGCCAGCAGCCGCGGUAACACGUAAGGUGCGAGCGUUGUUCGGAAUCAUUGGGCGUAAAGGGCGUGCAGGCGGACCCGCAAGCCGGGAGUGAAAUACCGGGGCUCAACCCCGGGGCUGCUCCCGGAACUGCGGGACUGGAGUCGCUGAAGGGGAGCCGGAAUUCCAGGUGUAGGGGUGAAAUCUGUAGAUAUCUGGAAGAACACCAAUGGCGAAGGCAGGCUCCUGGCAGACGACUGACGCUGAGACGCGAAGGUGCGGGGAGCAAACAGGAUUAGAUACCCUGGUA
Molecule: ribosomal RNA, 434 nt
Filed under: uncultured Treponema sp.
Lineage: Bacteria; Pseudomonadati; Spirochaetota; Spirochaetia; Treponematales; Treponemataceae
Description: partial 16S ribosomal RNA
Rfam family: Bacterial small subunit ribosomal RNA
Source: RNAcentral